RNAcentral lists this ribosomal RNA (253 nucleotides) under uncultured bacterium. RNAcentral describes it as "partial 16S ribosomal RNA". It matches the Rfam family "Bacterial small subunit ribosomal RNA", at positions 524 to 776 of the family's 1533-position model. The record is from RNAcentral.
UACGCAGGGGGCUAGCGUUGCUCGGAAUUACUGGGCGUAAAGCGCACGUAGGCGGUCUUUUAAGUCGGUGGUGAAAUCCUGGAGCUCAACUCCAGAACUGCCUUCGAUACUGGAAGACUUGAGUCCGGGAGAGGUGAGUGGAACUGCGAGUGUAGAGGUGAAAUUCGUAGAUAUUCGCAAGAACACCAGUGGCGAAGGCGGCUCACUGGCCCGGUACUGACGCUGAGGUGCGAAAGCGUGGGGAGCAAACAGG